AUGGAGGACUUGACACAGAACCGUGCAGUGAUGGACACCUUGGGCAGUAUGGUGCAAAAUGUGGAUGCGCCACAAAGGGGCCAAGGUGGUUUUGACUUGGCCAGUAUGAUGCAGCAGAUGAUGCCUGCUGUGUCACAAGUUCUUGGUGGAGCUUCACCUCGUCGUGCUGGUACAGAUGUGCAGCCUCGACAAAAUGACAGGGAAGUAAGCGACGCUGCAGGUGCGAGAAGCUCUCAGAUGGAUCUUCAAGAAGCAUGUCAACGCAUCGAGCAACAUGAUGCCCCUGAGGAAAUCUUUGGUGCUGUCCUUGAGACUGCUGCUCAGGCUUAUGGCGACGAUGAGAGCAUCGAGGUCAUGCUUGAAGAGCUUGCCAGUGACCCAGAGCUUGCUGAUGAGUACAUGAAGCUUCUGCUGGAGCAAGUCGGCGAGAGGGUGGAGUCCGAAUCCGAGGCCAAGAUGCAGUCGUGA
This 468-nucleotide ribosomal RNA is filed under the name Triticum aestivum (bread wheat). RNAcentral describes it as "partial small subunit ribosomal RNA". The record is from RNAcentral. Lineage: Eukaryota; Viridiplantae; Streptophyta; Magnoliopsida; Poales; Poaceae.